This 970-nucleotide long non-coding RNA is filed under the name Populus trichocarpa (black cottonwood). RNAcentral's name for it is "long non-coding RNA (PTRI_LNC001597)". The record is from RNAcentral. Lineage: Eukaryota; Viridiplantae; Streptophyta; Magnoliopsida; Malpighiales; Salicaceae.
CGCUAUGUCAAAUAAACAAAUCUCUAUUUAGAAGCACGUUUUUGAGUUGUUCCAUCGAUUACUUGCCCAUCUGUUUUUGGAGUCAAGUCUUUAAUUCAGAUAGAACCAAUUAUACCUAAUAAUUAAUUAGCGAUCGACACAAAUCAAGUCAAACAGCUAUCCAGGGUUAAAAUAAACGAAGACUAUGAAACGUGUGAAUCUCAAAUCAUCUCUAAAACCCAAUCCAACACACGUUUUAGAUUUUGUAGAAGCUGCUGUUCAGCAAUAAAUCCAGUUCCACCCACUUUAUAUACCUCUAGAAAACUAUAUCCACAUCAACACGUGUAAUACUCGGCACUGGAUUUACUUUCUUUUUUUUCUCUUGGUCGCCUCACCGUGUCACGACGGAGUGACGGGCAAAUGGAUCUUCAAAUCAUGCAGGCCGGUGAUGCGUAAGACUACCAGUACCAGGUACAUACUGAUUACUAACUUUCUGAAACACAAGAGUCACAGAGUCAACCCUAGCCAGACGUGCACGUCUAAUCAAGCAUUUUUUACACGAUCAAUCAUCUCAUGAUAUGCCACGUUCCCUUGUUCAGAUACUGGCUUGCACCGCUCCAUGCCAACUGGCAGCGAGAAGGGCUCUCCUGCCUCGGACAAACAAACCUAGGAACCCAGGAUUUGUUUAUGGCUCCUAAUCCAAACCCUGAAAGGAAUGCAUAGCAGCUGGAGCCAAAACAUUGGACACUGAUCCAACUAGGUUGGUUCAAAUGGCUAGUUAAGAUCUUUCUGGUCUCCCUGAAUCACAACAAGUCAUGGGCGUCACCUUAAAAUAAAGGGUGUAGAAAACAAAUGGAACACUGCUAUUUGGUGAAACGUGCGAGUUUGUUGUUAAGGAAACAUGGAUACUUUCAUGGACUUCGAUGGAUUAGGUCACCAAUGACAAAUUUUAUUCUCCUUAAUUUGGAGAGUCACACGUCUAGACUCUAGA